CCUACGGGAGGCAGCAGUGGGGAAUAUUGGGCAAUGGGCGCAAGCCUGACCCAGCAACGCCGCGUGAAGGAAGAAGGCUUUCGGGUUGUAAACUUCUUUUAUCAGGGACGAAGCAAGUGACGGUACCUGCUGAAUAAGCCACGGCUAACUACGUGCCAGCAGCCGCGGUAAUACGUAGGUGGCAAGCGUUAUCCGGAUUUACUGGGUGUAAAGGGCGUGUAGGCGGGAGUGCAAGUCAGAUGUGAAAACUAUGGGCUCAACCCAUAGCCUGCAUUUGAAACUGUACUUCUUGAGUGCUGGAGAGGCAAGCGGAAUUCCGGGUGUAGCGGUGAAAUGCGUAGAUAUACGGAGGAACACCAGUGGCGAAGGCGGAUUGCUGGAUAGUAACUGACGCUGAGGCGCGAAAGCGUGGGGAGCAAACAGGAUUAGAUACCCGUGUAGUC
This 443-nucleotide ribosomal RNA is filed under the name uncultured bacterium. Its description in RNAcentral is "partial 16S ribosomal RNA". It matches the Rfam family "Bacterial small subunit ribosomal RNA", at positions 338 to 795 of the family's 1533-position model. The record is from RNAcentral.